CACGCAGGCGGUCCGUUGAAUUAGAAGUGAAAGCCCUGGGCUCAACCCGGGAAUUGCUUUUAAGACUGGCGGACUAGAAUUCGGAAGAGGGCAGUGGAAUUCCAAGUGUAGAGGUGAAAUUCGUAGAUAUUUGGAAGAACACCAGUGGCGAAGGCGACUGCCUGGUCCGAUAUUGACGCUCAUGUGCGAAAGCGUGGGGAGCAAACAGGAUUAGAUACCCUGGUAGUCCACGCUGUAAACGAUGAGUGCUAGUUGUUGGAGUGCAUGCACUUCAGUGACGCAGCUAACGCAUUAAGCACUCCGCCUGGGGAGUACGGCCGCAAGGUUAAA
RNAcentral lists this ribosomal RNA (330 nucleotides) under uncultured bacterium. Its description in RNAcentral is "bacterial SSU rRNA". It matches the Rfam family "Bacterial small subunit ribosomal RNA", at positions 568 to 898 of the family's 1533-position model. The record is from RNAcentral.